AUGCUUCCCAAGUUGAAAGAUCAUUCUUUUUAUCAAUUAACCCAAGGUAAUAUCUCUAUUUGGAGCACACCAUGGUGCAGUCUUUGGGCCUCUAUCCAUGAUCAUCUUAUUAUUCAAGAGCCUGGCUUCAUGUAUCCUUCUUUAGUUAGGGACCUUUGGCUUCCUGGUCAAAAAGCUUGGAAUUCUGCUCUUGUUAAUUCUCUUUUUCAGCAUCCAUUGGCCUCUGUGAUUCUCCAAACGGACAUUAUCUAUGAUGAUGGUCCAGAUCUGCUUUGUUGGGAUCUUUCUUCUAAUGGUAUUUGUUCUUCUAAAUCUGCUUAUAAGUUUUGUUUGCAGGAAAUUCAUGAAAAUCCCAUGAAUGCUCCUUCUUCAGUGUCUUUGGAGGUGAAGGACUUGCUUAAGUUGAUCUGGAAACAAAAACAAAUGCUACCCAGAGUUAAAACUUUUGCUUGGAGACUCUUUCGGAAAGCUUUGCCUACAGGUUUAAGGGCGGGUCAUUUUUCCACUCAUAUUUCUCAGGCUUGUUGUAGGUGUGGUAAACAAGAGGAUGAAUUCCAUUUGUUCUUUUUAUGUGAUUUUGCUCGUGCGGCAUGGUUCUCCUCUCCUUGGUUCAUUAGAUCAGAUGUUUUAGUUCAAGGCCAUACUAAUUUGCAUUCCUCUAUUUCUACCUUUCUUCGAAUGUCUCAUCCUCAUGUCUCUAUUGAAAAUAUUCUUAAUUUUUUGUGGUGUCUUUGGAAGGCUAAAAAUGAUUUUCUUUUUGAUCGAAAAAAAGCCCUCCCUCAUCAUGUGCACAUUGUUGCAAAAGCCUUUUCUUAUGAUUUAUAUGAUGUUUCUAAUCAUAUGCCUAGCUUGCAGGAGGUGCCUCAAGUUCAACUUUCUCCUAAUCAACUUCCUCUGCAGGGAAAGACUCUUAAAUCUGAUUUGCUCGUUCUUGGUCCUAAAAUAUACUCUGAUGCAGCUUUCAGAUGUAAGAAAGUUCCAGGAUUGGUGCAAGGUUCGGUUGCUACUGGAGUUGGAAUCUAUCUUUCCUGGCCUCAAGAUCAAAUUGAAGUAAAUGUGCAAAUUCAGGCUUCAGCUCCAGCUACAUCUUCUCCAAUACAGGCAGAAGCAUUUGCACUUUCUUUUGCGGCUCAUCUGGCUAACAGGCUUAACAUUAUGCACCCAACUUUUCUUAUGGAUUGUCUAUCCUUGGCCUCAUUAGCUGCACCGGGUGAGAUUGUGGAAGCCAAUACCCCAUGGAGUAUCCGGAAACUUUUGGGUGAUUUCUUCAAGCAAGUGUCAAAUUUGCAACCUGAAGUGUUUCAUAUUUCUAGGGAAAUUAAUGGAAUCGCUCAUAAUGUAGCUCAUCAGGAUCUAUGUUCUAAUGUUGAACCUGAAAUAUGUUGCUUUCCUUCAGCCUAUAGACAUAUAUCUUGCCCUGUUGUUUCUCUCCUACAUACAUUUCAGGUUCAGGGCUUUGUAAUUCAUGCUGUAAGAUGCUAA
RNAcentral lists this ribosomal RNA (1482 nucleotides) under Triticum aestivum (bread wheat). RNAcentral's name for it is "partial small subunit ribosomal RNA". The record is from RNAcentral. Lineage: Eukaryota; Viridiplantae; Streptophyta; Magnoliopsida; Poales; Poaceae.